UUACGACCACAUCACGUUGAAACACUGGUUCCUGUACAAUCACCAAUGUUAAGCAACAUCGGGCUUGGUCAGUACUAAGAUGGGUGACCGCUUGGAAUAUCAGGUGCUGUAAG
Molecule: non-coding RNA, 113 nt
Organism: Acanthosepion pharaonis
Lineage: Eukaryota; Metazoa; Mollusca; Cephalopoda; Sepiida; Sepiidae
Source: the annotation of a GenBank genome assembly